This 429-nucleotide long non-coding RNA is filed under the name Carica papaya (papaya). RNAcentral describes it as "long non-coding RNA (CPAP_LNC000174)". Lineage: Eukaryota; Viridiplantae; Streptophyta; Magnoliopsida; Brassicales; Caricaceae. The record is from RNAcentral.
ACUAGACCAAAAUUGGUGGGAGAAACAUUCAAAGGGAUUAAGUUGGUAAAAAAAAUAUUUGCCCAAAGUAGGCAAGAAAAGUUAUUCUUAGAAUUUAAAAUGGAUGACCUGUGUUUCCAAAGAUCUCGCCAAUAAAAGACACUAUGAGAUUUGGAAAAAAAAAAAGUUAAAUCCCAAAUGCAUAAAACCCAUUAAGAUAUUAGAAGGAGUUGAAAUCAUUUAUAAAGAUACCGAAUCGUAAAGAAAAGAUAUUACGAUCCUGGAUAAUUCUACUAUGAGAUUUGGGAAGCAAAGAAAGUUAAAUCCCAAAUACAUAAAACAACUUGAGAUAUUAGGAGUUGAAAUGACUGUACAAAUUCUGGAUCACAAAGAAAGAUAUCACGAUCCAGAACGAUUCUAUGGGAAAAGGUACUUUGGCAACACUGUCCC